This 301-nucleotide ribosomal RNA is filed under the name uncultured bacterium. RNAcentral describes it as "partial 16S ribosomal RNA". It matches the Rfam family "Bacterial small subunit ribosomal RNA", at positions 509 to 807 of the family's 1533-position model. The record is from RNAcentral.
CAGCAUCCGCGGUAAUACAGAGGGUGCGAGCGUUAAUCGGAUUUACUGGGCGUAAAGCGUGCGUAGGCGGCUUCUUAAGUCGGAUGUGAAAUCCCUGAGCUUAACUUAGGAAUUGCAUUCGAUACUGGGAAGCUAGAGUAUGGGAGAGGAUGGUAGAAUUCCAGGUGUAGCGGUGAAAUGCGUAGAGAUCUGGAGGAAUACCGAUGGCGAAGGCAGCCAUCUGGCCUAAUACUGACGCUGAGGUACGAAAGCAUGGGGAGCAAACAGGAUUAGAUACCCCAGUAGUCCCUGUCUCUUAUAC